GUAUAUAUCCCACCCUUGAUUUUCUUAAAGAGGUUGGGAAUGUUUUCAUCAUCAAAAGGCAGGGUACCACAAAGAAGAGCAUACAAAAUAACCCCACAGCUCCAUACAUCCACUUCAGGCCCAGCAUACAAUUUCCCAGAGAUGACCUCUGGGGCAGCAUAAUUUGGGCUUCCACAACUUGUCUUUAGAAAAUGACCAUCUCGCAUUAUAUUGCUCAAUCCAAAAUCUGCUAUCUUCACAUUGCAUUUAGAAUCCAAAAGCAAAUUCUCAGGCUUAAGAUCUCUAUGAACAACCAUAUUCCUGUGGCAGUAUUCCACACCAGAAAUUAUCUGCUGGAAGAAAUUACGUGCCUCAUCUUCCUGUAGUCUACCCUUCUCCACAAUAUAAUCAAAGAGCUCUCCAGACUUCACAUACUCCAUUACAACAUGUAUAUCAGUUGGUGUUUCUAUAACCUCAUAUAAUCUUAUAAUGUGAGGGUGCAUAAACAAUCUCAGGAUUUUGAUUUCUCUUCUUACUUUUUCUUCCAUCUCCAUGUUCUUUAUCUUGCGACGGUUAAGUAUCUUGAUGGCAACUUUAUGGCCAGUCAGUGCAUGCUCUGCAAUUUUCACCUUACCAAAGGAACCAAUUCCAAGAGUUUUACCAAGUUUGUAAUUUGGUAAAAACACAUCAACACUACUGCUA
This 681-nucleotide unclassified non-coding RNA is filed under the name Hevea brasiliensis (rubber tree). Lineage: Eukaryota; Viridiplantae; Streptophyta; Magnoliopsida; Malpighiales; Euphorbiaceae. The record is from RNAcentral.